Mesoplodon densirostris (Blainville's beaked whale) is the source of this 5352-nucleotide RNA transcript. It is a transcript of the gene named polycystin 2, transient receptor potential cation channel, with no coding region annotated. Lineage: Eukaryota; Metazoa; Chordata; Mammalia; Artiodactyla; Ziphiidae. The record is from RefSeq and is a predicted model, not a curated record. The transcript is spliced from 16 exons.
GCGGCGGGCCCCGGGAAGAAAGGAACAUGGCUCCUGCGGCGGACAGCGCCGAGCGCGGCACGGGGCGACGGCGCGCCGGGCGCCAGUGACCGCCAUGGUGAACUCGAGCCGCGUGCAGCCGCAGCAGCCCGGGGACGCGAAGCGGACGCCGGCGCCCCGAGCGGCGGGCCCGGGCCGGCUGAUGGCGGGCGGGCGGGCCGCGGGCGCCGGCCUCGCCGGCCCGGGCGGCCUCCGCGAGCAGAGGGGCCUGGAGAUCGAGAUGGAGCGCAUCCGGCAGGCGGCCGCGCGGGACCCCCCGGCCGGAGCCUCGGCCUCCCCAUCUCCUCCGCUCUCGUCGUGCUCGCGGCAGGCGUGGAGCCGCGACAACCCGGGCUUCGAGGCCGAGGAGGAGGAGGAGGAAGAGGAGGUGGAGGGAGAAGAAGGGGGAAUGGUGGUGGAGAUGGACGUAGAGUGGCGCCCGGGCAGCCGGAGGUCGGUCGCCUCCUCGGCCGUGAGCUCUGUGGGCUCCCGGGGCCGGGGGCUGGGGGGCUACCACAGCGCGGGCCCUCCGAACGGGAGGCGGCGCCAGCGAGAGGACCAGGGCCCGCCGAGCCCCAGCCCGACCGGCGGCGGCGGCGGGGACCCGCUCCAUCGCCACCUCUCCCUGGACGGGCAGCUGCCCCGAGUGGCCUGGGCCGAGAGGCUGGUUCGCGGGCUGCGAGGUCUCUGGGGAACAAGACUCAUGGAGGAAAGCAGCACUGACCGAGAGAAACACCUUAAAAGUGUUUUACGGGAACUGGCCACAUAUCUCCUUUUUCUCAUAGUCCUGUGCAUCUUGACCUAUGGGAUGAUGAGCUCCAGUGUGUACUACUAUACCCGGAUCAUGUCCCAGCUCUUCCUGGACACCCCGGUGUCCAAAACGGAGAAAACUAACUUUAAAACUCUUUCUUCAGUGGAAGACUUCUGGAAGUUUGCAGAAGGCGCUUUGUUGGAUGGGCUCUACUGGAAGGUGCAACCCAGCAACAGAACUGAAGGCGACGACCGAAGCUUCAUCUACUACGAGAACCUACUCUUAGGGGUGCCACGUAUACGGCAACUGAGAGUCAGAAAUGGAUCCUGUUCCAUCCCCCUGGACUUGAGAGAUGAGAUUAAAGAGUGCUAUGAUGUCUACUCUGUCAGCAGUGAGGACAGGGCUCCAUUCGGUCCGAGAAAUGGAACCGCUUGGAUCUACACAAGUGAAAAAGACUUGAAUGGGAGUAGCCACUGGGGAAUCAUUGCAACUUAUAGUGGAGCUGGCUAUUACCUGGAUUUGUCAAGAACAAGAGAGGAAACAGCCGCUCAGAUUGCUAACCUCAAGAAAAAUGUCUGGCUGGACCGAGGAACCCGGGCCACUUUUAUUGACUUUUCAGUGUACAAUGCCAACGUUAAUCUGUUCUGUGUGAUCAGGUUAUUGGUCGAAUUCCCAGCCACAGGCGGUGUGAUUCCAUCUUGGCAGUUUCAGCCUGUAAAGCUGAUCCGAUAUGUCACGACUUUAGAUUUCUUCCUGGCAGCCUGUGAGAUUAUCUUUUGUUUCUUUAUCCUUUACUAUGUGGUGGAAGAGAUACUGGAAAUUCGCAUUCACAAGCUGCGCUAUUUCAGGAGUUUCUGGAAUUGUCUGGAUGUUGUGAUCAUCGUGCUGUCAGUGGUAGCUGCAGGAAUUAACAUACACAGAACAUCAAAUGUGGAGGUGCUCCUACAGUUUCUAGAAGAUCAAAAUGCUUUCCCCAACUUUGAGAAUCUGGCAUACUGGCAAAUACAGUUCAACAACAUAGCUGCUGUCAUAGUAUUUUUUGUCUGGAUUAAGCUCUUCAAAUUCAUCAACUUUAACAGGACCAUGAGUCAGCUCUCCACAACCAUGUCUCGGUGUGCGAAAGACCUCUUUGGCUUUGCAAUUAUGUUCUUCAUUAUUUUCUUAGCAUAUGCUCAGUUGGCAUACCUUGUCUUUGGCACUCAGGUUGAUGACUUCAGUACUUUCCAAGAGUGUAUCUUCACUCAAUUCCGUAUCAUUUUGGGUGAUGUCAACUUCGCAGAGAUUGAGGAAGCUAAUCGAGUUUUGGGACCAAUUUAUUUCACUACAUUUGUGUUCUUUAUGUUCUUCAUUCUUUUGAAUAUGUUUUUGGCCAUCAUCAAUGAUACUUACUCUGAAGUUAAAUCUGAUUUGGCCCAGCAGAAAGCUGAAAUGGAACUCUCAGAUCUUGUCAGAAAGGGCUACCAUAAAGCCUUGGUCAAACUAAAACUGAAGAAAAAUACCGUGGAUGACAUUUCAGAGAGUCUGCGGCAAGGGGGAGGCAAGUUAAACUUUGAUGAACUUCGACAAGAUCUCAAAGGGAAGGGCCAUACUGAUGCAGAGAUUGAGGCGAUAUUCACAAAGUACGACCAGGAUGGAGACCAAGAACUGACUGAACAUGAGCACCAGCAGAUGAGAGACGACCUGGAAAAAGAGAGGGAGGACCUGGACUUGGAUCACAGCUCUUUACCACGCCCCAUGAGCAGCCGAAGUUUCCCUCGAAGCCUGGAUGACUCUGAGGAGGAUGAUGAUGAAGACAGUGGGCAUAGCUCCAGAAGGAGGGGAAGCAUCUCCAGUGGGGUUUCUUACGAAGAGUUUCAAGUCCUAGUGAGACGGGUGGACCGAAUGGAGCACUCCAUCGGCAGCAUUGUGUCCAAGAUUGAUGCUGUGAUAGUGAAGCUGGAGAUCAUGGAGCGGGCCAAACUGAAGAGAAGGGAAGUGCUGGGAAGGCUGCUGGAUGGCGUGGCUGAGGAUGAAAGGCUGGGUCGUGACAGUGAAAUCCACAGGGAACAGAUGGAACGACUAGUGCGGGAAGAGUUGGAACGCUGGGAAUCCGAUGACGCAGCUUCCCAAAUAAGUCAUGGUUUAGGCACACCUGUGGGACUAAAUGGUCAGCCUCGCCCCAGGAGCUCCCGGCCUUCUUCCUCCCAGUCUGCAGAAGGAAUGGAAGGUGGAGGUGGAAACGGGAGUUCCAACAUCCACGUGUAGGACAUGUGCUACUCUAUGUGUUCUUAAUAGGUGAGAAGGUGACUGUCCUGAGUUGCCAUGACAGGUACACUAUUUAUAUGCCCUGACCACCGUAUGAUGCUGGUCUUUGUGACCAAUCGUUAAUUCUUCUGCACUUUAAUUUAUUUUAGAUAAACUUUGCCCAUGGAUCAAAGAAGAUGUUUUUUCUUUUUCUCAUAUAAGAAAUCCAGGUGUAAAUAUUGAGUACAGAAAAGAAAAUCUUUGUAAAGUAUAUUGAGUGGUAUGCCCACUUGGUACCAUAACUGAGUCUCCUCAGUUGACAAUGAAGUAGCCUUUUAAAGCUAAAAAAGAACUGUGAAAAGGCUUCUGAGUUUUUUAUUUCCAAUCACAAAAAUCAGUAUUGUCAUUUUUGCCGAGUGUGUGAGGGGAAAAUAGGGGCAUUCCUUUCCACUGAGGCUUCGCUCAUGGGCUUAAUACAUAGCUUUCUUUUAAGAAAGGAGCCUUUUAUUUCAACUACCUUCCUGGGGUACACUUUUCUAAAAGAUGAGCUAGAAAAGAACCCCAAACCAUAGAAUGGGUAUGUAGUCAUUAUGCUAGAAUUUGUAUGAAUGGUUACGAUAAAUGUUGAACACUAUGCUUUUUUGUUAUUUUAUCAUAUCUAAUGCCUGGGGGACUAACCAUUUCUCUUAAUUUUUACACUGUUUUCACUCUCAUUUGAAAUGAGCUGCAUGAAACCACUAAAGCUCAAUUGUGGGUUAAAAUGUCAUCUCUGACCAUAACACAGUAGAAUUGCAAGGAGCCAAAUCACUAAAUUUGAUUUUUUUCUAAUAAUUAGUUUAGUAUAAAGAUUUAUCUGUAUAGUGUUUUUCCCAUGUGGCUCAACUUAUUUGCAACUGAAUUUAAUGUUGUAACUAAUCUAGGAAGAUCAAGUUACUACAUUUUUUAGGAUGUACUGAAUGUUUUAACUGAGCAAAUAUGUUCAUUUUAAACAAAAUAUUAAGGAAUUUUGAAAUUCAUAUAAAAUAUUAUAAAACGAAGGUUUGAGUUUUAUACCAUUUUAAGAACACAGAACUCAAAUACUCUUGAUCCUGCAUUUCAAAACUAGAAUUUAUAACCCAAGUGGAGCUCAAUUUAAUGAAAAGGAGUUUGGGUUAUUGGAAGUUCAACCAUUAUCAGAAGGUAUAAGCUAAAGUUUGAGUUUGCAGCAGUUUUUUUUUUUUUUUCAUUAGGAGAGGGCCUCACCAAAUUUAUGGGGAAGAAACCUAUUUCUCAACAAAAACUGAAAAUCUUAUUUUUCAAAACUGAGUAAGCUGACCCUUGAGAGCAAGAGAGAAUGCAGUGCUGAAUCUUCAUACCUGAUUCCCCUGUUGACUUUUCAUGAGUUCCUCAGUGGGUACGUAACAAGAGGUGGAAUGCUGAGUCCCAGGUAUAUAAACAUUUAAUUUCACCCAGAACUGGCAGGUUGCCCUCCAGAACAACGGCAGCAGUCUACAGUUUCACUACAUGCAUGAAAGUACCAGUUGUACCCAGACCCUCACCAGCAUUGGUACCAUCCAGCUUCCUAAUCUUUGUAAUGGAAUGGUUUUGAAAUAAGGUGUCAUUUUAUUUUGCAUUUCUCUGAUUCCUAAUAAGGUUGAACAUUGCCUUAUAUAGUUGUUCAACAUUUGGGUUUCCUUUUUGUAAAUUGCCUAUUCAAAUCUUUAAAAUAGUACACUUGGAUCUAAUGGGAAACAGGUAUGUUUCUGUUCAUUGUCUAUUUUUCCACUGGGUCAUAGUCUAGUUUGUUGAUUUGCAUAAGUUCCUUGUGUGGUUUAAGUAUUAAUCCCUUAUCAGUUUUGGACUGUUAAUAUCUCUCAUCAGACGGGUAAUUCUGUCAGUGUUCCCUUGGUGUGUACUGUUAUGACUUGGGUUCUUUCAAGUACAAUUCAGUUCACUGAUGUCUAUAAAUGUUUCUGUUGAAAAUAAUUCUUGCUGAAAAACAGUAUGAUGGCAGGUGAAAAGAAGACAACCAAAAAGUCACUGAAUACUGAAAUCAAGAUGCUCCCUUUUUAAUGUGGGGUAAAUCAUGUAAAUUUAAGAGGAAUUUAGGAAAAUUUUUUAAGGAAUAAUAAUUUCAGGUAGGCAAUUGUAAGGAAGAUAACAAUCAUGCAUCCCAAGGCUAUGUGAUUCCUCCACAGGCCCCAAGGUGAGAGAUCGAUGCCCUGGUUUUCCAGAAAUUCUUCGCCAGUACAUCUGAAAUUCAACAGAAAAAGAAUACGACUUCAUUCUUACCAUCUGUCAAAUUUCACUCAAUAUAGUCACUGUUCCUUAAAAAAGCCUUUAGGUUACCAAGUCUUAAAUAUCCAUCCCUUCAUUUAUAA